This 1076-nucleotide long non-coding RNA is filed under the name Sarcophilus harrisii (Tasmanian devil). RNAcentral describes it as "lncRNA (ENSSHAG00000021834.1)". The record is from RNAcentral. Lineage: Eukaryota; Metazoa; Chordata; Mammalia; Dasyuromorphia; Dasyuridae.
GUAACAAUUCACAAAAAGCAAAAAAAAGACGGCGAACUACAGAUGACCAGUGAUGUACCAUAUUCAUGGUCUCCCUUUUAUUCUUGCCUCCAUUUAGGAAGAUGUCCAAUUCCUCUUCACCUUAGAACCCAAACCCAGAAAUAUUUGACCAGGGUGGGCUGAGCUCUUUGCAAGGAAACAUGUAUAUACCAGGUGUAUAUAUAUCCCAAAAUGUAGCUUGGCAUUUGGCUAUUGCCAACUUUCUACAUGCACGGCUAUAGCUUUGGGUUUUUGAGGGGUUUUUUUUGGCUGUAGCAGGAUCCUAUCUGCCUUGCAGUUUUUCUUGCAGUAGUUGCAAUUAUUGGUGGGUUUUUUAAAGGUGUAUUGUGUUUUUAGUUUUGUUCAACAUUUUCCCAAUUCAAUUUUUAGUGCAAAACAUUACCAUAUUGGCCAUGCAUAUCUAUAGUAAAAGAACAAUAGUAAUGCUUUUGUGCUUACUUUGGGAAGUAAUGUUUACUUCCCAAAGGAAAGAAAAAUGCAUUCAUGUGAUCCUGUGAAUCAAAUACACUUAAAUUUUAAGUUUUAAGAACUUGCAAAUGGACAUAUAAGUAUAAUUAAUGUGACAGAUCUAGCAUUGAAAAGACCUGAAUUUAAGUCCUACUUCAAACUUUUACUAGCUGUGAAGUCUGGGGCAAAAUCACUUAACCUCUGAAAUUCAAUUUUCUCACUUAAAUGAGAGGGAUAUAAUUAUUUAAUAGCUUUUAAGUCCUUUUCAGCUCUAAAUCUGUUAAUCCUAUAAAAUAUACAUUCAAAUAAAGACCAAUCAGUUCUAAGCCAGAUCUUUUGUAAUUUUGAAUUCCAAAUUUUCUCUGUUCAGUCUCUGCCCAUUGAAAAAGUGAAAAAGAUUUUUUCAUUAAAUAUUUUCAGGAAAUUUUAAGUCUCCUUUAACCCUUCUCCAAUUGUUCAGCUUCUGGGACAUCUGGGACAUCUACAUAAAUCUUAAUCAAGUUAUCUCAAUUUUCCAUUUCAUCUCUUAAAGUUUAUGGAGCACUUAGCUUGUCACAUUGUGGAGCACAUCGUUCAGUUACUCAAGUCUU